RNAcentral lists this ribosomal RNA (1420 nucleotides) under uncultured delta proteobacterium. RNAcentral describes it as "partial 16S ribosomal RNA". It matches the Rfam family "Bacterial small subunit ribosomal RNA". Lineage: Bacteria; Deltaproteobacteria. The record is from RNAcentral.
GGCUUCGGCCCUUGAGUACAGCGGCCAACGGGUGAGUAACACGUGGGUAAUCUGCCCUUGAGACGGGGAUAACCCGGGGAAACCCGGGCUAAUACCUGGAUAAGACCACAGAAGGCAACUUCAGUGGUGUCAAAGUGAGCUUUCUUCUGGGAAGCUGCUCGUUUAAGUGAGUGAGCCCGCGUCCUAUCAGCUUGUUGGUGGGGUAAAAGCCUACCAAGGCGAAGACGGGUAGCUGGUCUGAGAGGAUGAUCAGCCACACAGGGACUGAGACACGGCCCUGACUCCUACGGGAGGCAGCAGUGGGGAAUAUUUGGACAAUGGGGGAAACCCUGAUCCAGCGACGCCGCGUGGGUGAUGAAGGCUUUCGGGUCGUAAAGCCCUGUCAGGAGGAAAGAACGCUCCUAUGGUGAACACCCAUGGGAAGUGACGGUACCUCCAAAGGAAGCACCGGCCAACUCCGUGCCAGCAGCCGCGGUAAGACGGAGGGUCAAGCGUUGCUCGGAAUCACUGGGCGUAAAGGGUGCGUAGGCGGCCUCUUAAGUCUGGCGUGAAAGCCCAAGGCUCAGCUUUGGAAGUGCGCUAGAAACUGGGGGGCUUGAGUAUCGGAUGGGAGAGUGGAAUUCCUGGUGUAGCGGUGAAAUGCGUAGAUAUCAGGAGGAAUACCGGUGGCGAAGGCGACUCUCUGGACGAUAACUGACGCUGAGGCACGAAAGCGUGGAGAGCAAACAGGAUUAGAUACCCUGGUAGUCCACGCCGUAAACGAUGGGCACUAGGUGUCGGGGGUAUCCACUCCCCCGGUGCCGCCGCUAACGCAUUAAGUGUCCCGCCUGGGAAGUACGGUCGCAAGAUUAAAACUCAAAGGAAUUGACGGGGGCCCGCACAAGCGGUGGAGCAUGUGGUUCAAUUCGAUGCAACGCGAAAAACCUUACCUGGGUUUGACAUCUGCGAAUCCUCUGGAAACAGAGGAGUGCCCGUAAGGGAGACGCCAAGACAGGUGCUGCAUGGCUGUCGUCAGCUCGUGCCGUGUAGGUGUUGGGUUAAGUCCCGCAACGAGCGCAACCCCUAUCUUUAGUUGCCCCCAGGUAAAGCUGUGGCACUCUAAGGAGACUGCCCGUGUUAAGCGGGAGGAAGGUGGGGACGACGUCAAGUCAUCAUGGCCUUUAUACCCAGGGCUACACACGUGCUACAAUGGGUGGUACAGAGAGUUGCUAACGCGCGAGCAGGAGCUAAUCUCAGAAAACCAUCCUCAGUUCGGAUCGGAGUCUGCAACUCGACUCCGUGAAGUUGGAAUCGCUAGUAAUCGCGGAUCAGCAGCCGCGGGAAUACGUUCCCGGGCCGACACACCGCCCGUCACACCACGGGAGUAGUGACCGGAAGUAGUGCGUACCGCAAGGGAAGCAACUACCCAGGGUACGACCGG